UAGGGAAUCUUCCACAAUGGAUGCAAGUCUGAUGGAGCAACGCAGCGUGAGUGAAGAAGGUUUUCGGAUCGUAAAGCUCUGUUGUUGGUGAAGAAGGAUAGAGGUAGUAACUGGCCUUUAUUUGACGGUAAUCAACCAGAAAGUCACGGCUAACUACGUGCCAGCAGCCGCGGUAAUACGUAGGUGGCAAGCGUUGUCCGGAUUUAUUGGGCGUAAAGCGAGCGCAGGCGGAAGAAUAAGUCUGAUGUGAAAGCCCUCGGCUUAACCGAGGAACUGCAUCGGAAACUGUUUUUCUUGAGUGCAGAAGAGGAGAGUGAAAUUCCAUGUGUAGCGGUGGAAUGCGUAGAUAUAUGGAAGAACACCAGUGGCGAAGGCGACUCUCUGGUCUGCAACUGACGCUGAGGCUCGAAGGCAUAGGUAGCGAACAGG
Molecule: ribosomal RNA, 429 nt
Filed under: bacterium
Lineage: Bacteria
Description: partial 16S ribosomal RNA
Rfam family: Bacterial small subunit ribosomal RNA
Source: RNAcentral